This 491-nucleotide ribosomal RNA is filed under the name uncultured bacterium. RNAcentral describes it as "partial 16S ribosomal RNA". It matches the Rfam family "Bacterial small subunit ribosomal RNA", at positions 29 to 506 of the family's 1533-position model. The record is from RNAcentral.
AGUGAACGCUGGCGGUAGGCCUAACACAUGCAAGUCGAACGGCAGCACAGUAAGAGCUUGCUCUUAUGGGUGGCGAGUGGCGGACGGGUGAGGAAUACAUCGGAAUCUACUUUUUCGUGGGGGAUAACGUAGGGAAACUUACGCUAAUACCGCAUACGACCUACGGGUGAAAGCAGGGGAUCUUCGGACCUUGCGCGAUUGAAUGAGCCGAUGUCGGAUUAGCUAGUUGGCGGGGUAAAGGCCCACCAAGGCGACGAUCCGUAGCUGGUCUGAGAGGAUGAUCAGCCACACUGGAACUGAGACACGGUCCAGACUCCUACGGGAGGCAGCAGUGGGGAAUAUUGGACAAUGGGCGCAAGCCUGAUCCAGCCAUACCGCGUGGGUGAAGAAGGCCUGCGGGUUGUAAAGCCCUUUUGUUGGGAAAGAAAAGCAGCAGGUUAAUACCCCGCUGUUCUGACGGUACCCAAAGAAUAAGCACCGGCUAACUUCGU